This is a long non-coding RNA of Amblyraja radiata (thorny skate), 485 nucleotides long. RefSeq lists it as uncharacterized. The record is from RefSeq and is a predicted model, not a curated record. The transcript has 2 exons. NCBI's taxonomy places the organism in Eukaryota, Metazoa, Chordata, Chondrichthyes, Rajiformes, Rajidae.
UGUCCCUCAUUGUCACGUUAAACAAAGCACCCAGUCAAUUAUUUACUGAUUCCUUCAUCUCUUCCUUCUUUCCUCCUUAAGGUGCUGCUUUAAUCAUGACUGCUGUUAUGGGAGAGCGGAGUCUGCUGGUUGUCACCCCAAGUCUGAUUGCUACAGCUGGUCCUGCUACAGAAGUACAGCGAGCUGUGGGGUACGCAAUAACAGAUGUGAAAAGAAGAUUUGUGAAUGUGAUGUGGUGCUAUCAAAAUGCUUAAAGAGGGCGAACUACCAGAACAGAUAUGCGUUAUGGCCCAAUUUCCUUUGUGGCUAUUCAAGGCCGAGGUGUUAAGGCCUUGGGAGAGAAAAAAAUCAAUGCCUAUUGUGAAUUGUUAAUUUUGUCUGAGCAUGAAACAAGCUAUGAUUUAACUCAGUAUAAGGAGUCAGCAACAAAAGCUUUUCACUGUACCUCGGUACACAUGACAAUAAACUGAACUAAAACUAAAAAA